This 482-nucleotide ribosomal RNA is filed under the name uncultured bacterium. RNAcentral's name for it is "SSU rRNA". It matches the Rfam family "Bacterial small subunit ribosomal RNA", at positions 26 to 518 of the family's 1533-position model. The record is from RNAcentral.
AGGACGAACGCUGGCGGCGUGCCUAACACAUGCAAGUCGAACGAGGCCCAACCAGUGGCAACACUGGUGAAGGCCUAGUGGCGAACGGGUGAGUAACACGUGAGGAACCUGCCCCCGAAGACCGGGAUAACCCUCCGAAAGGAGAGCUAAUACCGGAUAUCCCCAUUGGAUCGCAUGAUCCGAUGAGGAAAUGGAUUCCGCUUCGGGAGGGCCUCGCGGCCUAUCAGCUAGUUGGCGGGUAACGGCCCACCAAGGCAUCGACGGGUAGCUGGUCUGAGAGGACGAUCAGCCACACUGGGACUGAGACACGGCCCAGACUCCUACGGGAGGCAGCAGUGGGGAAUCUUGCGCAAUGGGCGAAAGCCUGACGCAGCAACGCCGCGUGGGGGAUGAAGGCUCUCGGGUUGUAAACCCCUUUCAGUAGGGACGAAUCAAGACGGUACCUACAGAAGAAGCCCGGCUAACUACGUGCCAGCAGCCGC